This 2560-nucleotide unclassified non-coding RNA is filed under the name Ceratitis capitata (Mediterranean fruit fly). RNAcentral describes it as "c-mannosyltransferase dpy-19 homolog, transcript variant X1". The record is from RNAcentral. Lineage: Eukaryota; Metazoa; Arthropoda; Insecta; Diptera; Tephritidae.
CUGUUUUUUUGCUUUAUCUGAAAGCUGAAAAAGCAAAUAAAUGAAUUGUUUCGCCGCACAUAAAUUAAAAACUUUUUAAUAGUUCGUUUUAUCGAAUAAUAUUAAGGAUCUGGUGGCAAAAGUUCGAUUGUGCACAUAAAUACAAAAGGAAACUUAUGAUGAUCUAUAUAAAAUUAUAAUUAAUAUCUUAAUGUCAGAUAGACGGUUAAAAUUCUAAAUCAUCAUAAUGAAAGAACAAAAUUUAUUGCUUACACUAUCACAAUCCCUAAUUGGCACCGGCUUUUUCUUUCUUUAUGUGCAACAUGUGCGGUCGAUAUUUGAGUCCCGUACCAAUAUUGCACAUUUAACACAAUUGGAACGAGAGUCAUUGUUUCGACGUGAAGACUCAUUAUACUAUUCAUUUUAUAAGACACUCACAGAUGAAAAUGACUUUUGGAGUGGUUACAAUAAAUUAAAAAAUGUAUCUGGGAUUGAAUAUCCAGAAAAUGUUAAUGUACUGCAACGGUUCCAUGUACUUCCUGAAUUGACAAUAGCGUACCUUUAUCACAUUUUAAGACGCUAUGCCUUCACAGAAAAGUUUCCGAUUCUUAGCUGUUGGCACAGUAGUGAUAUAAGUUUACCCUUGGAACAUCGGCAUUGUGAUGGAAUGGGCCAGCCCAUGCAAUUUUAUUUGGAAUUUGUAUGGCUGCUUGGCGGUUUGACUGUACUAGUGAUCUAUAUAUAUGGGACAUUACUUAGUGAAAACAUUUUUGGUGGCAUUUAUGCAGUGAUUUCUUAUGUAAUGUUUCAUAGCUUCGCCUCCAAGAUUUACAAUACUCCUCUUGCUCGUGAAAACUUCGCGUUUCCUGUCAUAUUUAUGCAAAUGUUUUAUCUUUGCUUGUGCAUUGAUCGGGUCACGCAACGUAGAGCAUAUCAUAUGCGUUUCUUUAUUACUGUGAAAUUGACAUUGCUAACCACUGUAGCUCUCCUCUGCUGGCAAUUUUCUUCAAUUAUUUUUGCCACCCAACUUCUUAUUAUGAUGACACCUUGGUCCUUAAGUCCGGUAUCCGAGGUGGUUUCUAGUGCAUUUACCAUUGAUUAUUCGCUUUCUCAACUAAUCGCCACUGUACUUGCUUAUUACUUUUCUUAUUCUAACAAAACAUACGUUUUUUCUUGGCAUGUUGGUCCGGCAUUUGGACUUUUCUUGCUCAGUGUUGAAAGGCAAGUAAAGCCACAACCUCCUAAUAGUGGCUUUUCCCUUAAAAGCAUGUGGCCUGGUUUAUUAGCGGCGGUAAGCGCACAAGGAACCAUAAUUGAACUCUUUGAGAAAUCAGGGCUGGCACGCUCAGUUGAUAACGGAUUUGCUUUGUAUCGUGAUUUGAUUGUCCAUUGGGGCUUGCAGGCAAAGGUUAAUUUCACAACGAGUCUUGCUGCAUGCAAUCCAGCCUAUCAUAAUUUAAGUAUAUCCAAUUUGUGGGAGCUCAUAAAAACGCUAAUCAUUAAACCAUACUGUAUGUAUGGUGUUGUAAUGCUAGCAAAGUUUUUUCGCAAAUGGCGUAAGGGCAGUGAAAAAAAGACUCCCAAUAGAGAUAAUAUAGAGCGAGCAAAGAAGUACGUGCUUGAAGAUUAUUUAGAAGAGAAUCACAUAUCAAUGGUUGACAUGUGGAAUAAAGAAACAGAAAACGAAUUAAAUGAAUGUCUCAAGCUUUUAGAAGAAUGCGACUUUGAUUACCAACGCUACAAACAAGAAAAGACAAAAUCCAAAAACAACAAAAUUGAUGAGCAUGCAGAGUUCAUGAACAACAUAAAGUUGUUAAAAGAGCAAAUAAAAGAACGAAAUCAACAAAGAGAGCAUGAAAAUACUAGUGCUGCGACAAAUGCAACUAAUUUUAAAAAUAUACAGGCCCAACAAGCCAAAAGUACAGAUGAUAAAAAGCCGUCCAAAAUUAAUGUAGAUGCAGUAGAUGGCGACAGGUCAAGCGCAAAUACAGAAAAUGUGGAAACAGUGACUGAGACGGUUGAUGAAAUGAACAGUGAAUCAAGUAACAUUGGCGACGACAAUAAAGGAGCUCGCCGAGCACGGCAUAAAGCUGCGAAUUGUGCAGCUUCCAGGGCUGAAUAUCAUAAUGACAUAUUCAGCUUUCACUAUCUCUACAGCUUCAUGCAAAUGUUGGUUUUUACUGCUUUCGGUCUCAGUAUCAAGAAAUUAUUCUUCCUAAGCUUUACUCAAGGUUGUGUGAUUGCGCCGACAAUAUGUUCUAAGUUUUGGUAUCGCAAACAACGGAAUAUAUUUUGGUCAGUAUCUCUGGCAGUUUUCUUAACGAGCGUGGUAAAUCCCGGUUUUGUGAAAUUGCAUUAUUACAGAAUAUACACGAAGAAUACUUUCCUAAUCGACAAGGAGUUGUUAACGAUGAUUUGGAUAGCAUGUUGGAAUGGAUUAAAAUUAAUACUGAACGGGAUGCUGUUUUUGCAGGUCCAGUAGAUAUUAUUGGCACAGUUCAUUUAGUUACCAGACGACCGAUUGUAAACCAUGCGCAUUUGGAAAUGCGGCAUAUUAGCGAACGUACCGAACAUGUCUAUU